This 376-nucleotide ribosomal RNA is filed under the name uncultured bacterium. Its description in RNAcentral is "bacterial SSU rRNA". It matches the Rfam family "Bacterial small subunit ribosomal RNA", at positions 524 to 898 of the family's 1533-position model. The record is from RNAcentral.
UACGAAGGGUGCAAGCGUUAAUCGGAAUUACUGGGCGUAAAGGGUGCGUAGGCGGCUUUUUAAGUCGGAUGUGAAAUCCCCGGGCUUAACCUGGGAAUGGCAUACGAUACUGGGGAGCUAGAGUUUGGGAGAGGGUGGUGGAAUUCCCGGUGUAGCGGUGAAAUGCGUAGAGAUCGGGAGGAACAUCAGUGGCGAAGGCGGCCACCUGGCCUAAAACUGACGCUGAGGCACGAAAGCGUGGGGAGCAAACAGGAUUAGAUACCCUGGUAGUCCACGCCCUAAACGAUGAGAACUGGACGUUGGGAGGAAUUUGCCUCUUAGUGUCGAAGCUAACGCGUGAAGUUCUCCGCCUGGGGAGUACGCUCGCAAGAGUGAA